This is a non-coding RNA of Doryrhamphus excisus (bluestripe pipefish), 289 nucleotides long. NCBI's taxonomy places the organism in Eukaryota, Metazoa, Chordata, Actinopteri, Syngnathiformes, Syngnathidae. The record is from RefSeq and is a predicted model, not a curated record.
GUUUGUACAUGCUAGUUGUUUUGCUGCAUUGCAUCACUCAUUAAACUAAGUUUCUACCUGCACUUGGUCCUCAUCUCUGCAUCCUGGGGUCGCAACGCAACUCUGACAAGCCGCACCAUGACAGGGUGGCAAGCAAACUCCACACAGAGAUGCCCAAAUGGAGAUUUGAACCCAGGUCUUCCUGAUCUCCUGACUGUGUGGCCAACAUGCUAACCAGUCGUUCACAUAGGGCAUAUCUUUGAAGAGGGGGGGUACAGCUCUGAGUUCCUGGGAAUGUUCCUGUGAGGGG